GAUGAACGCUGGCGGCGUGCCUAAUACAUGCAAGUCGAGCGAACAGAUGAGGAGCUUGCUCCUCUGACGUUAGCGGCGGACGGGUGAGUAACACGUGGAUAACCUACCUAUAAGACUGGGAUAACUUCGGGAAACCGGAGCUAAUACCGGAUAAUAUAUUGAACCGCAUGGUUCAAUAGUGAAAGACGGUUUUGCUGUCACUUAUAGAUGGAUCCGCGCCGCAUUAGCUAGUUGGUAAGGUAACGGCUUACCAAGGCAACGAUGCGUAGCCGACCUGAGCGGGUGAUCGGCCACACUGGAACUGAGACACGGCCCAGACUCCUACGGGAGGCAGCAGUAGGGAAUCUUCCGCAAUGGGCGAAAGCCUGACGGAGCAACGCCGCGUGAGUGAUGAAGGUCUUCGGCUCGUAAAACUCUGUUAUUAGGGAAGAACAAAUGUGUAAGUAACUAUGCACGUCUUGACGGUACCUAAUCAGAAAGCCACGGCUAACUACGUG
RNAcentral lists this ribosomal RNA (497 nucleotides) under uncultured bacterium. RNAcentral describes it as "partial 16S ribosomal RNA". It matches the Rfam family "Bacterial small subunit ribosomal RNA", at positions 28 to 507 of the family's 1533-position model. The record is from RNAcentral.